This 76-nucleotide transfer RNA is filed under the name Felis catus (domestic cat). It matches the Rfam family "tRNA". From Rfam's summary of the family: Transfer RNA (tRNA) molecules are approximately 80 nucleotides in length. Lineage: Eukaryota; Metazoa; Chordata; Mammalia; Carnivora; Felidae. The record is from Rfam by way of RNAcentral.
GCCCGGUUGGUUAAGCACCUGACUUCGGCUCAGGACAUGAUCUUGCAGUUCGUGGGUUUGAGUCCCACAUUGGGCU